AUGCAAGUCGAGGGGUAUAGUAGCAAUACUAGAGACCGGCGCACGGGUGCGUAACGCGUAUGCAAUCUACCUUAUACAGAGGGAUAGCCCAGAGAAAUUUGGAUUAAUACCUCAUAGCAUAGCAACUUCGCAUGAAGUCACUAUUAAAGUUCCAACGGUAUAAGAUGAGCAUGCGUCCUAUUAGCUAGAUGGUAAGGUAACGGCUUACCAUGGCUACGAUAGGUAGGGGUCCUGAGAGGGAGAUCCCCCACACUGGUACUGAGACACGGACCAGACUCCUACGGGAGGCAGCAGUGAGGAAUAUUGGACAAUGGGCGCAAGCCUGAUCCAGCCAUGCCGCGUGCAGGAAGACGCAUCUAUGGUGUGUAAACUGCUUUUGUACGGGAAGAAACACUCCCUCGUGAGGGAGCUUGACGGUACCGUAAGAAUAAGGAUCGGUUAACUCCGUGCCAGCAGCCGCGGUAAUACGGAGGAUCCAAGCGUUAUCCGGAAUCAUUGGGUUUAAAGGGUCCGUAGGCGGUUUGGUAAGUCAGUGGUGAAAGCCCAUCGCUUAACGAUGGAACGGCCAUUGAUACUGCCAGACUUGAAUUACUGGGAAGUAACUAGAAUAUGUAGUGUAGCGGUGAAAUGC
RNAcentral lists this ribosomal RNA (631 nucleotides) under uncultured Flavobacterium sp. RNAcentral describes it as "bacterial SSU rRNA". It matches the Rfam family "Bacterial small subunit ribosomal RNA", at positions 55 to 689 of the family's 1533-position model. Lineage: Bacteria; Pseudomonadati; Bacteroidota; Flavobacteriia; Flavobacteriales; Flavobacteriaceae. The record is from RNAcentral.